CUUCCUCUGGGAGCGGACUGCUGCCUUCCCAGGGGCCCGGCAGCUCCGGGGGCAGGGCCGGCGGGCGGUGGGCUCAGGCCAAUGCCAGCGUGCCCGGGUCGGCCUCGGACCCUCUGUGCGCCCUGGCCUCUAGCUGGGGCCUCCCAGGCCAGGGACAAAGGCUUGUGCACAGGGCUGAGGGCUUCACUGGGCUCCUUACCAAGCUGGUGAGAGGACCUAUAUAAGCCUCCAGGGAUCUAGAAAUCAAUAAAGAUAUAUUCUGCCCUCCUGAAACCUACCGACGCUCGGCUUAGAACCGAAAUCACAGUCACGUUGUGUGGGUGCCGCUUCCGGAGCAAACUCAGUCCCGGGGGACCCGAGGAGUGUCAGCUGCGCCUGGCUGGCUGGAAGAGGAGGAGUCCCAGGGGAGGAGCACACUCAGGAUGUGGAGGGACGAGGAGGAGGAGGAGGUGAAGGGCCUUCAGGGCAAGGGGAAGGGGACCAGCUCCCUUGAGUGCCUCCCAGGUGGCAGCCCCUGCACCUGGCGUCCCCGUCACCUCAUCAGUCCGCCCCGCAGCUCCACGCGGCCGGCAUGGGGCUCCUUCGUACAUGUCACUGACGACGGGGAAGCGGAGGCUCAGAAGGGACCGGCAGCUUUCCCGAAGCCACACCACUGCCACCUGCUAGACCUGGGGCGCCGGCCCAGGCCCGCCGGUCUGACUCCAACGUCUGGGGCCUGGAUUCAUCUCCCCUCCCUCAGAGCAUCACCCCCCGCCCGACCCCCGAGGUGAGGGUGAGGGAGGAAGCAUCCCCAUCAGCACCCGCCUCUGUCAGGCAACGCAGGAGGCUCACUCAGGCACUCGAUGAACACACAUUUACCCACCCCUCCUCUGGGCCAGGCCCCGUGCUAGGCUCAAGGCGACAGCAGUGACAAGAGAGGUCCCUGCCUGCCAGCUUGGAGCUCCCUAGAAGGGGGAGUCUGUGGGGAGCCCUGGUUUGCCCAGGCUUAAAAAUAAACCCAGGUGCUGGACAGA
Molecule: long non-coding RNA, 1013 nt
Organism: Phyllostomus hastatus (greater spear-nosed bat)
Lineage: Eukaryota; Metazoa; Chordata; Mammalia; Chiroptera; Phyllostomidae
Exons: 2
Source: RefSeq, a predicted model, not a curated record